RNAcentral lists this ribosomal RNA (542 nucleotides) under Porphyrobacter sp. W1. RNAcentral describes it as "bacterial SSU rRNA". It matches the Rfam family "Bacterial small subunit ribosomal RNA", at positions 122 to 700 of the family's 1533-position model. Lineage: Bacteria; Pseudomonadati; Pseudomonadota; Alphaproteobacteria; Sphingomonadales; Erythrobacteraceae. The record is from RNAcentral.
GAACCUGCCUUGAGGUUCGGAAUAACUCAGAAGAAAUUUGAGCUAAUACCGGAUGAUGUCUUCGGACCAAAGAUUUAUCGCCUUUAGAUGGGCCCGCGUUGGAUUAGCUAGUUGGUGGGGUAAAGGCCUACCAAGGCGACGAUCCAUAGCUGGUCUGAGAGGAUGAUCAGCCACACUGGGACUGAGACACGGCCCAGACUCCUACGGGAGGCAGCAGUGGGGAAUAUUGGACAAUGGGCGAAAGCCUGAUCCAGCAAUGCCGCCUGAAUUAAUGAAGGCCUUAGGGUUGUAAAGCUCUUUUACCAGGGAUGAUAAUGACAGUACCUGGAGAAUAAGCUCCGGCUAACUCCGUGCCAGCAGCCGCGGUAAUACGGAGGGAGCUAGCGUUGUUCGGAAUUACUGGGGCGUUAAAGCGCACGUAGGCGGCUCAGCAAGUCANGGGUGAAAUCCCGGGCUCAACCCCGGACUGCCCUUGAACUGCUAGCUAGAAUCUUGGAGAGGCGAGUGGAAUUCCNAGUGUANAGUGAAUUCGUAGAUAUUCG